GGGAUCAUCAGGCCACCCCCACCCUCACCCUCACCCGUAUUUCUCACUGCCUUACCCAGUCACUUCUGUACUGACUCACUCCUAAAUUGAGCGCAGCUGCAGUGCAUUGUGCUGCGAUUCCUCAGUGUGGUCCCUGGACAGCGUGGUUCAGCAGCCUGUCUCCCCCCGGACGCUCAUUCUACACUUCUCUGCUACAGCAAUAUUCAGCUCGACAUCAGUCUCGCACAAUCAAUCGACACUCAGCUGGAAGCCGGAACCUGUGAUUGUUGCAGAUUGAUCGCUCGGGACUCACCUGCCCCAGUUCCACCUGGCACAGCAAUCAAAAGGAUGCCUCCUGGAUUGUGGUGGCUUCACACAAACACUCCCAACAAGAGUCAAAGCCUUAUCAUCACUGUUGACUACUGCCAAAGUCCUCUGCCUCACGAAUAUUUUUUUUUUCUGUCCUUGUCUGUUUGU
Long non-coding RNA from Xiphias gladius (swordfish), 456 nucleotides. RefSeq lists it as uncharacterized. Lineage: Eukaryota; Metazoa; Chordata; Actinopteri; Istiophoriformes; Xiphiidae. The transcript has 3 exons. The record is from RefSeq and is a predicted model, not a curated record.